UACGUAGGGGGCGAGCGUUGUCCGGAAUCAUUGGGCGUAAAGGGCGCGUAGGCGGACUUAUAAGUCUGAUGUGAAAGUGCGGUGCUUAACACCGUAAAGCAUUGGAAACUGUGAGUCUUGAGGACAGGAGAGGAAAGUGGAAUUCCACGUGUAGCGGUGAAAUGCGUAGAGAUGUGGAGGAACACCAGUGGCGAAGGCGACUUUCUGGACUGUAACUGACGCUGAGGCGCGAAAGCGUGGGGAGCGAACAGG
Molecule: ribosomal RNA, 252 nt
Filed under: uncultured bacterium
Lineage: Bacteria
Description: partial 16S ribosomal RNA
Rfam family: Bacterial small subunit ribosomal RNA
Source: RNAcentral